Non-coding RNA from Podarcis lilfordi (Lilford's wall lizard), 222 nucleotides. The record is from the annotation of a GenBank genome assembly. NCBI's taxonomy places the organism in Eukaryota, Metazoa, Chordata, Lepidosauria, Squamata, Lacertidae.
CCCUGUCUGUUGAAGAAGGUAGCUCAAUGGUAGAGCAUUUGACUGCAGAUCAAGCUUUUCUUACCCCCUCUUUGGGGGGAAAGGAGGAAUAAAUCGUAUCCGGGUGUUAUAACCCCCUACAUAUAGAGAAUAGGGAUGCAAGUGACGCUGUGGUCUCUAAACCACUGAGCCUCUUGGGCUUGCCGGUCAGAAGGUCGGCGGUUCGAAUCCCUGCGACGGGGU